Homo sapiens (human) is the source of this 2528-nucleotide long non-coding RNA. Ensembl annotates it as NR2F1 antisense RNA 1. Its record names the gene NR2F1-AS1. The record is from Ensembl. NCBI's taxonomy places the organism in Eukaryota, Metazoa, Chordata, Mammalia, Primates, Hominidae.
GGACGGGAGCCGCUCCCGGGCGGCACACAGCCGAGUCCCUCCUCCCCUCCCCGCAGGCAGCCUGUGCCUUUUCUCCAAACGAAGACAGCACUUUGAAAAUUCUUUCAAUGGAUUUUUUUUUCCUUGAAAGAUCGUACUGGGGGAAAAUGAUACUUCUAUUAGUUACAUAUUCUCCAAUCGCAUACUCGCACCCCCCUCGUUUUGAGAUCGCUCCCCUAGGCAGGCUCAGGCGGGCGCGGAGCCGCGCGGAGUGACAAAGCCGCCGCUGCCGCCGCCGGGGGUGGGAGCCGCGCUCGCCCGCCCGCCCCUCGACUCGCGAGGGCGUAAAAGUUUGUCUCAGCUCGAGCAUUCCUAGCGCCAACACGCCCUCAGGUAAAGGUGGAAGUAAAUGGCCACGCUGUAUUGACAGAGCAGGUAGAUGAAACUCAAGAGAAAAGGUGUGGAUAAAUGAAACUAGCCCAUGAUGAACCUGUUUUCUCCGUGACCACAAUAUUAACCAGGAUGAAUGGCGAUACACUGCCUCUAGGACUGGGACAGAUAGCCACUGAGUACCUGCUUCAAAUCACCCUGCACGUUUUCUCUUUGGAAAGAUAAGCACUGGAGAACCAUCUCGUUACCUUCAGCAGAAAUGGAAACAAAUCAAGACAUUAAGAAUGCCGCAGUGGACAGCAGUUAUGCAAGGUUCAGCAGAGGAAGUUUUCAAGAUGGUGUGCCUCACUAGCCAGAAAUCAGAAAAGAUCGAAGCUAGCCUUUUCAUCUCAGCUGCUCCUUAAAUCAGUGCAACCCCUCCAAAUUAAUGUGAAUUGAAACUUGCAUUGCUUUUCAACUUAAUUGAAUACUUACUAUAUGUGAACCACUGCACAAAAUAGGGGAAGAAGAUGUGGGAGACAAAGAUGUGGAGCCUGUCUUCAAUAAAUUUACAGUUAGUUUCAGGGUACAUUGUUUUUCUUCUGCUGUUAAUUAGGUGUAUCCCCAAGACAAUAAAUACAUGAAUGGAAAAGUAUAUUCUGUGUUUUAAGUCUCUUUAAUAAAAAACAAAACAAAAUCCAAAAAAACUCCUAACAUGGCAACUCAGGACAUUUUAAUCCUUUUUUUUGUUGUUGGGCUUCUGAUAGGAUCCAUUUUAUUGAUUCCAUAAAUAUUUAGUAGACUUUAGACAUAUUAAUACAUUGUAGUUUGAGUUAAUUUGCAUUAAAUUCUGUUUUUUUCCCCUUAGGUAUAGAUUGUCUGUUGGAAAAAUAUAUUGCUUGUGGAUUUCUUGGGGAGUGGGAAGGUGAAUUAUACCUGUUGUCUCUACAGUCCACUACCUUCCACACCCUAGGGCAGUGGUCCCCAACCUUCUUGGCACCAGGGAUCAGUUUCCUGGAAGACAAUUUUUCUGUGGAUGGUGUGGGGAUGGUUUUGGGAUGGAACUGUUCCACCUCAGAUCAUCAGGCAUUAGUUAGGCUCUCAUAACGAGUGCGCAGCCUAGAUCCCUCACAUGCACAGUUCACAGUAGGGUUUGCGCUGCUAUGAGAAUCUAAGGCUGCCACUGAUCUGACAGGAGGCAGAACUCAGGUGGCAAUGCUUACUGGCCCACUGCUCACCUCUUGCUGUGCGGCCUGGUUCCUAAUAGGCCAUGGACCCCCACAGACGGGUACUAGUCUGCAGCCUGUGGACCCCAGCCCUAGGGGCCUGCCAUUCUGAGUGAGUUAUUAGCAUGAAGAAGAGGAAGAUCUGGAUCAAACGUGGGUGAUGGUACUCAGAGACCCAAGAUAGGAUAGGGAUGGAACAAAAUCCAUCUGGGCAACGGCUCUAUGAAAAUUUGGCUAAGUAAUUAUUUCAGUAUUCAUUGUAUUCAUUGUCCUUCGUGUUCCAUAAGUUAAAUGACUGUCUAAUUUUUCCAAAAAUUUAUUUCUGACUUGAGAAUAAGUGUGUCAUGAUUUUCCCAGUGUAAAGACACUGAUAUAACUGUAGAUACCAGACAUUUUAUGUAGUGUCUAUGACACAUUUUAGUAUGUAUGAGCCAACAAUAGACAUGUCUUUGUCUUGAGGAGUGUCCAUCUGAAUUGAAAAUGUGUCAGCUUUUUUUUAACAUCAUCAACAGACUUCUUAAUUAAGCUGCCAAUACAUACUGCCAAUAGCACUGUGUGCUGUCUGAGAAAUGCAUUGUGUAAGUGCUAUUUCCAUCUUAUUAAAUAAACAAUGUUGCUCUGUAUAAACUGGAUUUAAAGUGUUCUUUGAAUGAGGCAUUAUAUUGCUCCAUAAAUAAUGUGAUGUGAAUUCUCAUAUGAUCCCUUUUAACUUAAUUUCUAAAAAAAUAUUAUUUGCUCCUCAGUAAGGAAUAGCUCUAAUUGGACUGGUAACUUUAGUGAUAUGAUUUGUCUGUAACAGGCUGAAUCGCCCCACUCCCAAACUCCUGGUCGUGAUACUGGAUAUUUGUUAUGCCACUUUUAGUUUGCAUGAGGUAUCUUCCAGGAAGUAUUAGUUAUUAACUUGUGUUCUACUAAACUGUAGAUAUUUAUUUCCUGUUCUGGAAGAUUUCUUGG